CGCUCCGGUGGCUUAGUGGUUAGAGCGUCCGCUUCAUAUACGCGAUGUCGUGGAUCCGAACCCCGGCUGAGUUA
Non-coding RNA from Potamilus streckersoni, 74 nucleotides. Lineage: Eukaryota; Metazoa; Mollusca; Bivalvia; Unionida; Unionidae. The record is from the annotation of a GenBank genome assembly.